Molecule: ribosomal RNA, 331 nt
Filed under: uncultured eukaryote
Lineage: Eukaryota
Description: partial 18S ribosomal RNA
Rfam family: Eukaryotic small subunit ribosomal RNA
Source: RNAcentral
CCCUUAGAUGUUCUGGGCCGCACGCGCGCUACACUGAUGAAUUCAACGAGUUUACAACCUUGGUCGAGAGGCCUGGGUAAUCUUGUAAAUGUUCAUCGUGAUGGGGAUAGAUUCUUGCAAUUAUUAAUCUUUAACGAGGAAUUCCUAGUAAACGCAAGUCAUCAGCUUGCAUUGAUUACGUCCCUGCCCUUUGUACACACCGCCCGUCGCACCUACCGAUUGAAUGGUGCGGUGAAAUCUUUGGACCGUGACUUUGUUCUGCCUUCGGGCAGAGUAUUGUCGUGGGAAGUUGAUUAAACCUUACCAUUUAGAGGAAGGUGAAGUCGUANCA